AACGAACGCUGGCGGCAUGCCUAACACAUGCAAGUCGAACGAGACCUUCGGGUCUAGUGGCGCACGGGUGCGUAACGCGUGGGAACCUGCCCUUAGGUUCGGAAUAACUCCCCGAAAGGGGUGCUAAUACCGGAUAAUGUCUUCGGACCAAAGAUUUUUCGCGUUUGGAUGGGCCCGCGUUGGAUUAGCUAGUUGGUAGGGUAAAAGCCUACCAAGGCGACGAUCCAUAGCUGGUCUGAGAGGAUGAUCAGCCACACUGGGACUGAGACACGGCCCAGACUGCGACGGGAGGGAGCAGUGGGGAAUAUUGGACAAUGAGCGAAAGCCUGAUCCAGCAAUGCCGCGUGAGUGAUGAAGGCCUUAGGGUUGUAAAGCUCUUUUACCCGGGAUGAUAAUGACAGUACCGGGAGAAUAAGCACCGGCUAACUCCGUG
Molecule: ribosomal RNA, 433 nt
Filed under: uncultured bacterium
Lineage: Bacteria
Description: partial 16S ribosomal RNA
Rfam family: Bacterial small subunit ribosomal RNA
Source: RNAcentral